GCGGGUAUGGCAUAACGGCUGUGCACCAGCCUUCCAAGCUGGUUAUAGGGGUUCGACCCCCCUUACCCGCUCCA
This 74-nucleotide transfer RNA is filed under the name Lentisphaerota bacterium. RNAcentral's name for it is "Lentisphaerae bacterium (feces metagenome) tRNA-Gly". It matches the Rfam family "tRNA". Rfam says of the family: Transfer RNA (tRNA) molecules are approximately 80 nucleotides in length. Their secondary structure includes four short double-helical elements and three loops (D, anti-codon, and T loops). Further hydrogen bonds mediate the characteristic L-shaped molecular structure. tRNAs have two regions of fundamental functional importance: the anti-codon, which is responsible for specific mRNA codon recognition, and the 3' end, to which the tRNAs corresponding amino acid is attached (by aminoacyl-tRNA synthetases). tRNAs cope with the degeneracy of the genetic code in two manners: having more than one tRNA (with a specific anti-codon) for a particular amino acid; and 'wobble' base-pairing, i.e. permitting non-standard base-pairing at the 3rd anti-codon position. Lineage: Bacteria; Pseudomonadati; Lentisphaerota. RNAcentral also lists the same sequence under 1 other name. The record is from RNAcentral.